RNAcentral lists this unclassified non-coding RNA (231 nucleotides) under plant metagenome. RNAcentral describes it as "partial contains small subunit ribosomal RNA, internal transcribed spacer 1, and 5.8S ribosomal RNA". The record is from RNAcentral.
UCUCCGUAGGUGAACCAGCGGAGGGAUCAUUACAGAGUUGCAAAACUCCCAAACCAUUGUGAACGUUACCUAUCCCGUUGCUUCGGCGGGCGGCCCGGGCCCCGCGCCCGGCGCCCCCCGGCCCCCCGUGGGCGCCCGCCGGAGGUAAACCAAACCCUUGAAUUGCAUGGCCUCUCUGAGUCUUCUGUACCGAAUAAGUCAAAACUUUCAACAACGGAUCUCUUGGUUCUG